AUUGUGAAGCAGAAGUUUUCGGACGGAAGCGGAACGAUAUGUUCUAGCGGCGGACGGGUGAGUAACGCGUGAGCAACCUGUCCCUUACAGGGGGAUAACACAGCGAAAGUUGUACUAAUACCGCAUAAGACCACAGAGUCACAUGGCUUAGGGGUCAAAGGAGCAAUCCGGUAAGGGGUGGGCUCGCGUCCGAUUAGAUAGUUGGUGAGGUAACGGCCCACCAAGGCGAUGAUGCAUAGCCGGGCUGAGAGGCUGAACGGCCACAUUGGGACUGAGACACGGCCCAGACUCCUACGGGAGGCAGCAGUAGGGAAUUUUCGGCAAUGGGGGAAACCCUGACCGAGCAACGCCGCGUGAGUGAUGAAGGUCUUCGGAUUGUAAAGCUCUGUUGUAAGGGAAGAAUGAAUUGGAUAGAAUCCGAUUGUGACGGUACCUUACCAGAAAGCUACGGCUAACUACGUGCCAGCAGCCGCGGUAAUACGUAGGUAGCGAGCGUUAUCCGGAAUUAUUGGGCGUAAAGGGUGCGUAGGCGGCUUGUUAAGUUUAAGGUGAAAGAAUGGGGCUCAACCCCAUAAAGCCUUAGAUACUGGCAAGCUAGAGUACUGGAGAGGGUAGUGGAAUUCCAUGUGUAGCGGUAAAAUGCGUAGAUAUAUGGAGGAACACCGGUGGCGAAGGCGGCUACCUAGACAGAGACUGACGCUGAGGCACGAAAGCGUGGGGAGCAAAUAGGAUUAGAUACCCUAGUAGUCCACGCCGUAAACGAUGAAUGCUAGAUAUCGGGGCAACUCGGUGUCGAAACUAACGCGAUAAGCAUUCCGCCUGUGGAGUAUGCACGCAAGUGUGAAACAUAAAGGAAUUGACGGGGGCCCGCACAAGCGGUGGAGUAUGUGGUUUAAUUCGACGCAACGCGAAGAACCUUACCAGGCCUUGACAUCCCUUGCAAAACUCUAGAGAUAGAGCAGAGGUUAUCAAGGUGACAGGUGGUGCAUGGUUGUCGUCAGCUCGUGUCGUGAGAUGUUGGGUUAAGUCCCGCAACGAGCGCAACCCUUGUCUUCAGUUACCAUCAUUAAGUUGGGGACUCUGGAGAGACUGCCGGUGAUAAACCGGAGGAAGGUGGGGAUGACGUCAAAUCAUCAUGCCCCUUAUGGCCUGGGCUACACACGUACUACAAUGGCUGUUACAACGUGAAGCAACACUGUGAAGUGAAGCGAAUCACUAAAAGGCAGUCUCAGUUCGGAUUGAAGUCUGCAACUCGACUUCAUGAAGUUGGAAUCGCUAGUAAUCGCGGAUCAGCAUGCCGCGGUGAAUACGUUCUCGGGCCUUGUACACACCGCCCGUCAUACCAUGAGAGCUGGCAAUACCCGAAGCCGGUGGCCU
This 1377-nucleotide ribosomal RNA is filed under the name uncultured bacterium. RNAcentral describes it as "bacterial SSU rRNA". It matches the Rfam family "Bacterial small subunit ribosomal RNA", at positions 59 to 1436 of the family's 1533-position model. The record is from RNAcentral.